Molecule: ribosomal RNA, 464 nt
Filed under: uncultured bacterium
Lineage: Bacteria
Description: partial 16S ribosomal RNA
Rfam family: Bacterial small subunit ribosomal RNA
Source: RNAcentral
GACGAACGCUGGCGGCGUGCUUAACACAUGCAAGUCGAACGAUGAAGCCAGCUUGCUGGUGGAUUAGUGGCGAACGGGUGAGUAACACGUGGGUGAUCUGCCCCAAACUUUGGGAUAAGCCUGGGAAACUGGGUCUAAUACCGAAUAUGACCGAUACUCGCAUGGGUGUUGGUGGAAAGCUCCGGCGGUUUGGGAUGGGCCCGCGGCCUAUCAGCUUGUUGGUGGGGUAAUGGCCUACCAAGGCGACGACGGGUAGCCGGCCUGAGAGGGCGACCGGCCACACUGGGACUGAGACACGGCCCAGACUCCUAUGGGAGGCAGCAGUGGGGAAUAUUGCACAAUGGGCGCAAGCCUGAUGCAGCGACGCCGCGUGAGGGAUGACGGCCUUCGGGUUGUAAACCUCUUUCACCAGGGACGAAGCGAAAGUGACGGUACCUGGAGAAGAAGCACCGGCCAACUACGUG